GCGAACGCUGGCGGCAGGCCUAACACAUGCAAGUCGAACGAACUCUUCGGAGUUAGUGGCGGCCGGGUGAGUAACACGUGGGAACGUGCCUUUUGGUUCGGAAUAACUCAGGGAAACUUGUGCUAAUACCGAAUGUGCCCUUCGGGGAAAAGAUUUAUCGCCAUUAGAGCGGCCCGCGUCUGAUUAGCUAGUUGGUGAGGUAACGGCUCACCAAGGCGACGAUCAGUAGCUGGUCUGAGAGGAUGACCAGCCACACUGGGACUGAGACACGGCCCAGACUCCUACGGGAGGCAGCAGUGGGGAAUCUUGCGCAAUGGGCGAAAGCCUGACGCAGCCAUGCCGCGUGAAUGAUGAAGGUCUUAGGAUUGUAAAAUUCUUUCACCGGGGACGAUAAUGACGGUACCCGGAGAAGAAGCCCCGGCUAACUUCGUG
RNAcentral lists this ribosomal RNA (432 nucleotides) under uncultured bacterium. RNAcentral describes it as "partial 16S ribosomal RNA". It matches the Rfam family "Bacterial small subunit ribosomal RNA", at positions 29 to 507 of the family's 1533-position model. The record is from RNAcentral.